RNAcentral lists this transfer RNA (72 nucleotides) under Camelus bactrianus (Bactrian camel). It matches the Rfam family "tRNA". Rfam says of the family: Transfer RNA (tRNA) molecules are approximately 80 nucleotides in length. Their secondary structure includes four short double-helical elements and three loops (D, anti-codon, and T loops). The record is from Rfam by way of RNAcentral. RNAcentral also lists the same sequence under 2 other names. Lineage: Eukaryota; Metazoa; Chordata; Mammalia; Artiodactyla; Camelidae.
GGAGGUAUAGCUCAGUGGUAGAGUGCCUGCUUAGUAUGCACAAGGUCCUGGGUUCAAUUCCCAGGAUCUCCA